This is a long non-coding RNA of Manacus vitellinus (golden-collared manakin), 715 nucleotides long. RefSeq lists it as uncharacterized. Lineage: Eukaryota; Metazoa; Chordata; Aves; Passeriformes; Pipridae. The transcript is spliced from 3 exons. The record is from RefSeq and is a predicted model, not a curated record.
AAAGGAAGACAGAAGCAAUACCCAGACCUUGAACUAUCCAUAUCCUUAAAAUGUGGAAUCAACAGAAUUGUUUCUGAAGGCUCUGCCUCUGGACAUCAGAAGAGUCAGAUGACAUGUCACCGGAAAAAGUGUGUACAGCAUGAAGGCACAUGGAAGAAAAUUCCAUCCAGGAGGAAUGACUUCACAGGCUGUAAAAUAUUGCUUCUGCCCUGGCAACAAUUUUUAAUAAAGCUGGAUGUUUUUAGCAGCUAAAGUCAAAUUUGUCUUUAGCAUCCUCCCCAUUUUAGAAACAGGACUGAAUAAACAAUUCCUGUCACACAAGAAAACUCUCUUGCUCAUUGGAAUUGGUGGGCUCUUCGGCACCCUUCCUUGGACAGAUGGACACUGGCUGGCUGUACCUGGGACAUUUGCUCACCUCUUCCUAUGGCUGACAAUCAUCUGGACCACACCAACACCAGUGGCUCCAAUCAGUGAGACAGAUCCUCAAACACUUGUAUAUCACAGGCUGUUUUUCCAUGGUGUUAUAACACUGCAUCCAUACCGCAUAGGUAGAGUUAGAGCAUCACUGAGAGAAGCCUGGACAUGUCCUUAGUAUCCAUCAGGGCUGCAAACAUCCCCUGUACUGAUGCCCAAGAAACCAUAUGUCAGAAUAGAUAACAAAACUUAAACUGAUGCGCCCCAAACUCUUUGAAUCCUUCACACCUCCUGUGAAGGU